Molecule: long non-coding RNA, 713 nt
Filed under: Lathyrus oleraceus (garden pea)
Lineage: Eukaryota; Viridiplantae; Streptophyta; Magnoliopsida; Fabales; Fabaceae
Description: Pisum sativum (pea) long non-coding RNA (PSAT_LNC012145)
Source: RNAcentral
UUAUCAUGUAUCUCAUCUGAAGAAAGUUGGUUGUGGGGUAAUAGGAGGUGGAAGCAUAGUUACCUACUGACCUGCACCAGUUAGAGUGUUGCAGGCAAAUGUAUUGGCAGACAUGGGAUGUGCUGUUAGGCUAGAUUACGGUGCAGUUGAAGCGCAGGUCAGGGCUACCUCGAAUGAAUGGCAGUUUAUGUAGGAAAAGUUUACCUAUUUAAACCUUGACGAUAAGGUUGAUCUCCCAAAGGGAAGUAAUGUUGGCCACAGGAAGCAGUCAUGAGGGAAAGUCUUGAAGGGGUAUGUAAGAAAGUAGAGCUAGCAGGAUGUAGGUCAGCUAGUUAAUACUACUACUACUAUUCAGGGAAUUUUUCAAACAAUAAUUACUUGAGUAGUUAGGAUACUGUAAUUUUAGUAAUUACUAAUUAGGAGAUUUAUUAGAAGAUAAAUUCUAACGUACCCAAGAAAUGUUGUGUCUGCAGUUAUAUACCCAGAUGACUUGGCCUAAAUAAAUUGGUAGAACUGUUAGAAAAUCUCAACAUAACAAUUAAGCCAACCGUUCUUAAAGUAGACCCUAAAGUUACGAAUAAAUAUUAUGAGUCCCAAGAACAGUUUUACAAAUUUUGUGAAGACUUUUCCUAUUAUCCUCAACUUUGAGCUUCAUAGUCUUUUGCAGUUGUAUCUGUUGAAAUUGAUGUUUGAUCAUCAUCAUUUAAAAGUGA